RNAcentral lists this ribosomal RNA (406 nucleotides) under uncultured bacterium. Its description in RNAcentral is "partial 16S ribosomal RNA". It matches the Rfam family "Bacterial small subunit ribosomal RNA", at positions 30 to 526 of the family's 1533-position model. The record is from RNAcentral.
AUUGAACGCUGGCGGCAGGCCUAACACAUGCAAGUCGAACGAGUGGCGGACGGGUGAGUAAUGUCUGGGAAACUGCCUGAUGGAGGGGGAUAACUACUGGAAACGGUAGCUAAUACCGCAUACCAUCAGAUGUUCCCAGAUGGGAUUAGCUAGUUGGUGGGGUAACGGCUCACCAAGGCGACGAUCCCUAGCUGGUCUGAGAGGAUGACAGGCCAAAAUGGAACUGAGAAACGGUACAGACUCCUACGGGAGGCAGCAGUGGGGAAUAUUGCACAAUGGGCGAAAGCCUGAUACAGCCAGGCCGCGGGUAUGAAGAAGGCAUUCGGGUUGUAAAGUACUUUCAGCGGGGAGGCGUUACCCGAAGAAGAAGCACCGGCUAACUCCGUGCCAGCAGCCGCGGUAAUAC